GACGAACGCUGGCGGCGUGCUUAACACAUGCAAGUCGAACGGAAAGGCCCUGCUUUUGUGGGGUGCUCGAGUGGCGAACGGGUGAGUAACACGUGAGUAACCUGCCCUUGACUUUGGGAUAACUUCAGGAAACUGGGGCUAAUACCGGAUAGGAGCUCCUGCUGCAUGGUGGGGGUUGGAAAGUUUCGGCGGUUGGGGAUGGACUCGCGGCUUAUCAGCUUGUUGGUGGGGUAGUGGCUUACCAAGGCUUUGACGGGUAGCCGGCCUGAGAGGGUGACCGGCGACAUUGGGACUGAGAUACGGCCCAGACUCCUACGGGAGGCAGCAGUGGGGAAUAUUGCAGAAUGGGCGGAAGCCUGAUGCAGCAACGCCGCGUGCGGGAUGACGGCCUUCGGGUUGUAAACAGCUUUCGCCUGUGACGAAGCGUGAGUGACGGUAAUGGGUAAAGAAGCACCGGCUAACUACGUG
RNAcentral lists this ribosomal RNA (468 nucleotides) under uncultured bacterium. Its description in RNAcentral is "partial 16S ribosomal RNA". It matches the Rfam family "Bacterial small subunit ribosomal RNA", at positions 28 to 507 of the family's 1533-position model. The record is from RNAcentral.